This 531-nucleotide ribosomal RNA is filed under the name uncultured bacterium. RNAcentral describes it as "bacterial SSU rRNA". It matches the Rfam family "Bacterial small subunit ribosomal RNA", at positions 355 to 905 of the family's 1533-position model. The record is from RNAcentral.
UGGGGAAUCUUGGACAAUGGGGGCAACCCUGAUCCAGCCAUGCCGCGUGAGUGAUGAAGGCCUUAGGGUCGUAAAGCUCUUUCGCCUGUGAAGAUAAUGACGGUAGCCGGAGAAGAAGCCCCGGCUAACUCCGUGCCAGCAGCCGCGGUAAUACGGAGGGGGCUAGCGUUGUUCGGAAUUACUGGGCGUAAAGCGCGCGUAGGCGGACUGAUCAGUCAGGGGUGAAAUCCCGGGGCUCAACCCCGGAACUGCCUUUGAUACUGUCAGUCUUGAGUCCGGAAGAGGCGAGUGGAAUACCGAGUGUAGAGGUGAAAUUCGUAGAUAUUCGGUGGAACACCAGUGGCGAAGGCGCUCACUGGCUCGAUACUGACGCUGAGGUGCGAAAGUGUGGGGAGCAAACAGGAUUAGAUACCCUGGUAGUCCACACCGUAAACGAUGAAUGCCAGUCGUCGGGUAGCAUGCUAUUCGGUGACACACCUAACGGAUUAAGCAUUCCGCCUGGGAGUACGGUCGCAAGAUUAAAAGCUCAAA